AUUGAACGCUGGCGGCAUGCCUUACACAUGCAAGUCGAACGGCAGCACGGGAGCAAUCCUGGUGGCGAGUGGCGAACGGGUGAGUAAUAUAUCGGAACGUGCCUAGUAGUGGGGGACAACCAUUCGAAAGAGUGGCUAAUACCGCAUACGCACUCUGGUGGAAAGUGGGGGAUCGCAAGACCUCACGCUAUUAGAGCGGCCGAUAUCGGAUUAGGUAGUUGGUGGGGUAAAGGCCUACCAAGCCUGCGAUCUGUAGCUGGUCUGAGAGGACGACCAGCCACACUGGGACUGAGACACGGCCAGACUCCUACGGGAGGCAGCAGUGGGGAAUUUUGGACAAUGGGCGCAAGCCUGAUCCAGCAAUGCCGCGUGCAGGAUGAAGGCCUUCGGGUUGUAAACUGCUUUUGUACGGAGCGAAACGGCUCUCUCUAAUACAGAGGGCUAAUGACGGUACCGUAAGAAUAAGCACCGGCUAACUACGUGCCAGCAGCCGCGGUAA
This 499-nucleotide ribosomal RNA is filed under the name uncultured bacterium. RNAcentral describes it as "partial 16S ribosomal RNA". It matches the Rfam family "Bacterial small subunit ribosomal RNA", at positions 30 to 523 of the family's 1533-position model. The record is from RNAcentral.